AGAUUGAACGCUGGCGGAAUGCUUUACACAUGCAAGUCGAACGGUAGAGGGGGCAACCCUCGAGAGUGGCGAACGGGUGAGUAAUAUAUCGGAACGUGCCCAGUCGUGGGGGAUAACGUAGCGAAAGUUACGCUAAUACCGCAUACGAUCUACGGAUGAAAGCGGGGGAUCGCAAGACCUCGCGCGAUUGGAGCGGCCGAUAUCAGAUUAGGUAGUUGGUGGGGUAAAGGCUCACCAAGCCAACGAUCUGUAGCUGGUCUGAGAGGACGACCAGCCACACUGGAACUGAGACACGGUCCAGACUCCUACGGGAGGCAGCAGUGGGGAAUUUUGGACAAUGGACGCAAGUCUGAUCCAGCCAUUCCGCGUGCAGGAUGAAGGCCCUCGGGUUGUAAACUGCUUUUGUACGGAACGAAAAGGUUUCUAUUAAUACUAGGAGCUCAUGACGGUACCGUAAGAAUAAGCACCGGCUAACUACGUG
RNAcentral lists this ribosomal RNA (481 nucleotides) under uncultured bacterium. RNAcentral describes it as "bacterial SSU rRNA". It matches the Rfam family "Bacterial small subunit ribosomal RNA", at positions 26 to 507 of the family's 1533-position model. The record is from RNAcentral.